GGGUUGUGAGGUUAAGCGACUAAGCGUACACGGUGGAUGCCCUGGCAGUCAGAGGCGAUGAAGGGCGUGCUAAUCUGCGAUAAGCGCCGGUAAGGUGAUAUGAACCGUUAUAACCGGCGAUACCCGAAUGGGGAAACCCAGUGUGACUCGUCACACUAUCAUUAACUGAAUCCAUAGGUUAAUGAGGCGAACCGGGGGAACUGAAACAUCUAAGUACCCCGAGGAAAAGAAAUCAACCGAGAUUCCCCCAGUAGCGGCGAGCGAACGGGGAGGAGCCCAGAGCCUGAAUCAGCAUGUGUGUUAGUGGAAGCGUCUGGAAAGGCGCGCGAUACAGGGUGACAGCCCCGUACACAAAAGCGCAUGUGCUGUGAGCUCGAUGAGUAGGGCGGGACACGUGGUAUCCUGUCUGAAUAUGGGGGGACCAUCCUCCAAGGCUAAAUACUCCUGACUGACCGAUAGUGAACCAGUACCGUGAGGGAAAGGCGAAAAGAACCCCGGCGAGGGGAGUGAAAAAGAACCUGAAACCGUGUACGUACAAGCAGUGGGAGCCCCACCACCAAAGCAUUCUCUGGUGUUGAAGGCCCUGCAAAGCAGCAUCGCGGUGGCGGAGCGUCGUUUGCGACGCCCAACACACAAAACAAGCGGUGAGUGCUUUGGGGUGGGGUGACUGCGUACCUUUUGUAUAAUGGGUCAGCGACUUAUAUUCUGUAGCAAGGUUAACCGUAUAGGGGAGCCGUAGGGAAACCGAGUCUUAACCGGGCGUUAAGUUGCAGGGUAUAGACCCGAAACCCGGUGAUCUAGCCAUGGGCAGGUUGAAGGUUGGGUAACACUAACUGGAGGACCGAACCGACUAAUGUUGAAAAAUUAGCGGAUGACCUGUGGCUGGGGGUGAAAGGCCAAUCAAACCGGGAGAUAGCUGGUUCUCCCCGAAAGCUAUUUAGGUAGCGCCUCGUGAAUUCAUCUUCGGGGGUAGAGCACUGUUUCGGCUAGGGGGUCAUCCCGACUUACCAACCCGAUGCAAACUGCGAAUACCGGAGAAUGUUAUCACGGGAGACACACGGCGGGUGCUAACGUCCGUCGUGAAGAGGGAAACAACCCAGACCGCCAGCUAAGGUCCCAAAGUCAUGGUUAAGUGGGAAACGAUGUGGGAAGGCCCAGACAGCCAGGAUGUUGGCUUAGAAGCAGCCAUCAUUUAAAGAAAGCGUAAUAGCUCACUGGUCGAGUCGGCCUGCGCGGAAGAUGUAACGGGGCUAAACCAUGCACCGAAGCUGCGGCAGCGACACUGUGUGUUGUUGGGUAGGGGAGCGUUCUGUAAGCCUGCGAAGGUGGCCUGUGAGGGUUGCUGGAGGUAUCAGAAGUGCGAAUGCUGACAUAAGUAACGAUAAAGCGGGUGAAAAGCCCGCUCGCCGGAAGACCAAGGGUUCCUGUCCAACGUUAAUCGGGGCAGGGUGAGUCGACCCCUAAGGCGAGGCCGAAAGGCGUAGUCGAUGGGAAACAGGUUAAUAUUCCUGUACUUGGUGUUACUGCGAAGGGGGGACGGAGAAGGCUAUGUUGGCCGGGCGACGGUUGUCCCGGUUUAAGCGUGUAGGUGUGUGUUCCAGGUAAAUCCGGUUCACUUUAACACUGAGGCGUGAUGACGAGGCACUACGGUGCUGAAGCAACAAAUGCCCUGCUUCCAGGAAAAGCCUCUAAGCAUCAGGUAACAUCAAAUCGUACCCCAAACCGACACAGGUGGUCAGGUAGAGAAUACCAAGGCGCUUGAGAGAACUCGGGUGAAGGAACUAGGCAAAAUGGUGCCGUAACUUCGGGAGAAGGCACGCUGACACGUAGGUGAAGUGAUUUACUCAUGGAGCUGAAGUCAGUCGAAGAUACCAGCUGGCUGCAACUGUUUAUUAAAAACACAGCACUGUGCAAACACGAAAGUGGACGUAUACGGUGUGACGCCUGCCCGGUGCCGGAAGGUUAAUUGAUGGGGUCAGCGCAAGCGAAGCUCCUGAUCGAAGCCCCGGUAAACGGCGGCCGUAACUAUAACGGUCCUAAGGUAGCGAAAUUCCUUGUCGGGUAAGUUCCGACCUGCACGAAUGGCGUAAUGAUGGCCAGGCUGUCUCCACCCGAGACUCAGUGAAAUUGAACUCGCUGUGAAGAUGCAGUGUACCCGCGGCAAGACGGAAAGACCCCGUGAACCUUUACUAUAGCUUGACACUGAACAUUGAGCCUUGAUGUGUAGGAUAGGUGGGAGGCUUUGAAGCGUGGACGCCAGUCUGCGUGGAGCCGACCUUGAAAUACCACCCUUUAAUGUUUGAUGUUCUAACGUGGACCCGUGAUCCGGGUUGCGGACAGUGUCUGGUGGGUAGUUUGACUGGGGCGGUCUCCUCCUAAAGAGUAACGGAGGAGCACGAAGGUUGGCUAAUCCUGGUCGGACAUCAGGAGGUUAGUGCAAUGGCAUAAGCCAGCUUGACUGCGAGCGUGACGGCGCGAGCAGGUGCGAAAGCAGGUCAUAGUGAUCCGGUGGUUCUGAAUGGAAGGGCCAUCGCUCAACGGAUAAAAGGUACUCCGGGGAUAACAGGCUGAUACCGCCCAAGAGUUCAUAUCGACGGCGGUGUUUGGCACCUCGAUGUCGGCUCAUCACAUCCUGGGGCUGAAGUAGGUCCCAAGGGUAUGGCUGUUCGCCAUUUAAAGUGGUACGCGAGCUGGGUUUAGAACGUCGUGAGACAGUUCGGUCCCUAUCUGCCGUGGGCGCUGGAGAACUGAGGGGGGCUGCUCCUAGUACGAGAGGACCGGAGUGGACGCAUCACUGGUGUUCGGGUUGUCAUGCCAAUGGCACUGCCCGGUAGCUAAAUGCGGAAGAGAUAAGUGCUGAAAGCAUCUAAGCACGAAACUUGCCCCGAGAUGAGUUCUCCCUGAGACUUUAGGUCUCCUGAAGGAACGUUGAAGACGACGACGUUGAUAGGCCGGGUGUGUAAGCGCAGCGAUGCGUUGAGCUAACCGGUACUAAUGAACCGUGAGGCUUAACCUUACAACGCCGAAG
This 3028-nucleotide ribosomal RNA is filed under the name Salmonella enterica subsp. enterica serovar Anatum str. CFSAN003961. RNAcentral's name for it is "23S ribosomal RNA". It matches the Rfam family "Bacterial large subunit ribosomal RNA". The record is from RNAcentral. Lineage: Bacteria; Pseudomonadati; Pseudomonadota; Gammaproteobacteria; Enterobacterales; Enterobacteriaceae.